Molecule: ribosomal RNA, 594 nt
Filed under: uncultured bacterium
Lineage: Bacteria
Description: bacterial SSU rRNA
Rfam family: Bacterial small subunit ribosomal RNA
Source: RNAcentral
CCUACGGGAGGCAGCAGUGGGGAAUAUUGGACAAUGGGCGAAAGCCUGAUCCAGCAAUGCCGCGUGAGUGAUGAAGGCCUUCGGGUCGUAAAGCUCUUUUACCAGGGAUGAUAAUGACAGUACCUGGAGAAUAAGCUCCGGCUAACUCCGUGCCAGCAGCCGCGGUAAUACGGAGGGAGCUAGCGUUGUUCGGAAUUACUGGGCGUAAAGAGUACGUAGGCGGUUAUUCAAGUCAGAGGUGAAAGCCCGGGGCUCAACCCCGGAACUGCCUUUGAAACUAGAUAACUAGAGUCUUGGAGAGGUUAGUGGAAUUCCGAGUGUAGAGGUGAAAUUCGUAGAUAUUCGGAAGAACACCAGUGGCGAAGGCGACUAACUGGACAAGUACUGACGCUGAGGUACGAAAGCGUGGGGAGCAAACAGGAUUAGAUACCCUGGUAGUCCACGCCGUAAACGAUGAUAACUAGUUGUUCGGUCACUUGGUGACUGAGUGACGCAGCUAACGCAUUAAGUUAUCCGCCUGGGGAGUACGGUCGCAAGAUUAAAACUCAAAGAUAAUACGACGNGNGAGNGCGACGACGACGACGAGGAGGAGAG